UCAAAUAACUCCGCCUGUGACUCUUCUAGAGUUACUGCCGGUCCCAAGCCCGGGUAAAGGAGGAGGGUUGA
Non-coding RNA from Schistosoma mansoni, 71 nucleotides. The record is from Rfam. Lineage: Eukaryota; Metazoa; Platyhelminthes; Trematoda; Strigeidida; Schistosomatidae.